UUUUGAUUACCACUUAUGUGGCGCGCUGACUGAGUUCCAUCAUGGAACGGGUGUUUGUGUCCACUUGAUCUGCCACCUCAAUUAAUGAGGGAGAUCAAGUGGUCCACGUUUUUUUGUAAUUUUUUAUUUUAUUUUUUUCCUUUGAUUUUCAUUAAUUCAUAUUAAUUUGAAUAUUGAUCCAAAAAAUAUGAGAGUUUCAC
RNAcentral lists this long non-coding RNA (200 nucleotides) under Lathyrus oleraceus (garden pea). Its description in RNAcentral is "Pisum sativum (pea) long non-coding RNA (PSAT_LNC028957)". Lineage: Eukaryota; Viridiplantae; Streptophyta; Magnoliopsida; Fabales; Fabaceae. The record is from RNAcentral.